AGAUGAUAACCCAGAAGGGUCUGAGCCAGGAGGCAGGAGAACCAGGCUGGGGGGCAGGCACAUGGUCCUCUCUGGGACUGAGAGAGGGGCUGAAGUGGAUCUGCCAGGAUGGAAUAGGCAGUGUGUGCACACAUGUGCUGUUCUGAGGACACAGACCUGCCCUACCCACCACCCCAGAGGGAGGCCAACAUCUACAUGGUUCCUCAGAACAUCAAGCCAGCGCUCCAGCGUACCGCCAUCGAGAUCCUGGCAUGGGGCCUGCGGAACAUGAAGAGUUACCAGCUGGCCAACAUCUCCUCCCCCAGCCUCGUGGUAGAGUGUGGGGGCCAGACGGUGCAGUCCUGUGUCAUCAGGAACCUCCGGAAGAACCCCAACUUUGACAUCUGCACCCUCUUCAUGGAAGUGAUGCUGCCCAGGGAGGAGCUCUACUGCCCCCCCAUUACCGUCAAGGUCAUCGAUAACCGCCAGUUUGGCCGCCGGCCUGUGGUGGGCCAGUGUACCAUCCGCUCCCUGGAGAGGUUCCUGUGUGACCCCUACUUGGUGGAGAGUCCAUCCCCACAGGGUGGCCCAGAUGAUGUGAGCCUACUCAGUCCUGGGGAAGACGUGCUCAUCGACAUUGAUGACAAGGAGCCCCUCAUCCCCAUCCAGCUUGCAGACGGUCUGUCGAGCUUGGCCCUCACUAACACGGCUUCUCCAUCCAGCCCUCAUGAGGAAGAGUUCAUCGAUUGGUGGAGCAAAUUCUUUGCCUCCAUAGGGGAGAGGGAAAAAUGCGGCUCC
This 777-nucleotide small RNA is filed under the name Pongo abelii (Sumatran orangutan). Its description in RNAcentral is "processed transcript". Lineage: Eukaryota; Metazoa; Chordata; Mammalia; Primates; Hominidae. The record is from RNAcentral.